Non-coding RNA from Canariomyces notabilis, 89 nucleotides. NCBI's taxonomy places the organism in Eukaryota, Fungi, Ascomycota, Sordariomycetes, Sordariales, Chaetomiaceae. The record is from the annotation of a RefSeq genome assembly.
GGUCGAGUGGCGUAAAGGUAGCGCGUGGUCCUCCUAUAAAUUGGAGCUAUCCAAGACUGAGGUUGUGGGUUCGAGUCCCAUCUCGAUCG